Molecule: unclassified non-coding RNA, 345 nt
Filed under: soil metagenome
Description: partial contains 5.8S ribosomal RNA, internal transcribed spacer 2, and large subunit ribosomal RNA
Rfam family: 5.8S ribosomal RNA (bases 1-121)
Source: RNAcentral
GAUGAAGAACGCAGUGAAAUGCGAUAAGUAAUGCGAAUUGCAGAAUUUCCGUGAGUCAUCGAAUCUUUGAACGCACAUUGCGCCCACUGGUAUUCCGGUGGGCAUGCCUGUUCGAGCGUCAUUAUCCUCCCUCAAACCCCGGGUUUGGUGUUGGACCCAAGUUGUGUGAACAACUGGUCUUAAAGACAAUGACGGCGUCCGUGGGACCCUCGGUGCAACGAGCUUUUAGGAGCACGCAUCGAGUUGCAAGGACCUUCCGGGCCGGUCUCCUUUACUAUUUUACAAGGUUGACCUCGGAUCAGGUAGGAAUACCCGCUGAACUUAAGCAUAUCAAUAAGCGGAGGA